This 485-nucleotide ribosomal RNA is filed under the name uncultured bacterium. Its description in RNAcentral is "bacterial SSU rRNA". It matches the Rfam family "Bacterial small subunit ribosomal RNA", at positions 30 to 507 of the family's 1533-position model. The record is from RNAcentral.
UGAACGCUAGCGGCAGGCUUAACACAUGCAAGUCGAGGGGCAGCACGAAGUAAGCUUGCUUACUUUGGUGGCGACCGGCGCACGGGUGCGUAACAGGUGUGCAAUCUGUCCAUAAUCGGGGAAUAGCCCAGCGAAAGUUGGAUUAAUGCUCCAUGUGAGCAGGGGAGGCAUCUCCUUUGUUUGAAACGUAAGGAUUAUGGGUGAGCACGCUUCUGAUUAGGUAGUUGGUGAGGUAACGGCUCACCAAGCCGACGAUCAGUAGGGGUUCUGAGAGGAAGGUCCCCCACAUUGGAACUGAGACACGGUCCAAACUCCUACGGGAGGCAGCAGUGAGGAAUAUUGGUCAAUGGACGAAAGUCUGAACCAGCCAAGUCGCGUGAAGGAUGAAGGUUCUAUGGAUUGUAAACUUCUUUUGUCUGAGGGUAAAAAAGCGGACGUGUCCGUUCUUGCAAGUAUCAGACGAAUAAGCAUCGGCUAACUCCGUG